UACGUAGGGGGCUAGCGUUAUCCGGAAUUACUGGGCGUAAAGGGUGCGCAGGUGGUUUCUUAAGUCAGAGGUGAAAGGCUACGGCUCAACCGUAGUAAGCCUUUGAAACUGGGGAACUUGAGUGCAGGAGAGGAGAGUGGAAUUCCUAGUGUAGCGGUGAAAUGCGUAGGUAUUAGGAGGAACACCAGUUGCGAAGGCGGCUCUCUGGACUGUAACUGACACUGAGGCACGAAAGCGUGGGGAGCAAACAGG
This 252-nucleotide ribosomal RNA is filed under the name uncultured bacterium. Its description in RNAcentral is "partial 16S ribosomal RNA". It matches the Rfam family "Bacterial small subunit ribosomal RNA", at positions 524 to 776 of the family's 1533-position model. The record is from RNAcentral.